UUGCAAUGCAUGUCUUUUAUGUAUUUAUAUUAAUUUUAUUUAUUUAAUUGAUAUGAACAGAAAAAGACUUUAAUGUUAGUAAUCUUCAUAUCAAGUUAAUAUUUUGAAAUUUUAAGAUAGUUAAAUAAGAUGAAAAUUCUUCUCAUUAUUGGCUAUAAUUUAGCUUUGUUCCCCCUGGAUGUGGCAGUAACUCGGGAUAGAAGGAAUUCAACCACCAAUGACGCCACCCCUGUUGAAAAUAGUCCAGAACAGAUAUUGAGGGUGAGGGGGUCUAAAAUUGAAAGCUCCCUAUCCAGCCCAAAGCAGGUGGGGUGAGAAGGGAACCAUUGAUGUUGGCUGUGGUGGUGGUAGUUGUAAUAAAGGAAAGAGCCAGCGUGAAGUAGAGCAGCCAGCGGAGAGGGUGAGACGGGGACCAAAUAUGUUAUUGAUGCUACCACCAAUCAAUAUUCGCGUUAUUGGCUGCAGUUGGGUAGACCUGCCCUCCACCUACCAUGCCGAAAAGGGCAGUGAAUAUUCCUGGACAGCAGAAGCAGACAAGACCUAAAAAGUUUCAAGCCAUCUUCAGCCAGGGGUGUGUUGAUUCCGAAAAGGGAGGACCCUCGUGGUAUUUAGGGUGGGUUGCUGCUUCCUCCUUUCCUCUAGUUCCCAUUAAUAGGUUAAACCUGGCAGAGAGAAGGAAAAGGAAUAUUAAAUCAGAAACUAUGAGGAAUUGAUAUGUAGUGUUUUAUUGAGGAAGGAAGCCUUUGUUUCUGCGAGCGAACAAUUUGACUUUUGAUAGUCAUACUCUUUUAUCAAUAGUGAAUUCCGUUAGUAACAAAGAAUCUCUCUUGUGAAAUUUGACCACUCCUUUUGUUUUGUUUUAAUAUACCUUAUCUGGUGCUGGUACCUAGCAACUUAAAUCAUUGCCAGCAUGCUAGCAAAGUAUGCAUCUAAUCCUUGUUCCGAGUCUGGUGACAGUAUGUAAGACACAAUGGACAACAUUUAACAUCACUUAAACUGAAUAUUCUUUCAAGCAUAGUGACAAUGCUUUGUUCGCCUAGUUUAGACCACAAGAAAAGAGUAUUGUUGUACCUAACAAGGCACAAUGAAUCAAAGAAAGAAACUUCUAAUGUACAAAAACCCAGCUUGAACAAUAAAACUUCCAUGUUAAAUCUGUUGUGACAAUCAAUUGUACAAUGUUCACCAGCAUGAUCAUCACCCAUUGUUGUGAGUGGGAACACAAAAUUUGAGCAGCAUAUACCAGAUUGCAUAUUAAUUUCAGGAUCGCAUUCUAAGUUUCAGUCACCUUCAAAUUUUACUGCUAGACCAGGUCGUCAUUGCAACAACUCCGUACUCAAAUGUUUUAAACCAAUAUGCUGGCGCUAUGCAUUUUCAUGGCAUUGUGAAUAUAUAUCCUUCUUAAACUUUGCAACACAGAAAAAUCUUAAAGCAAGUGGAAUCAGCUGCUGACUCAAGUGGAUUAAACUAGUAACAAGGUCAUCUUUUGCAGCAGAUCAUCAUGCCAUCUCCUAUGGGUACCAUACUGAUGCUUACACGCUUGUCCUCCGUGAUGGUUUUAUUGAAAUUCCUUAUGCUGACAGUCUUAGCAUCAUUUACCUGCUCAAAAGAUGAUAACACGCACAUAAAUUUAUCCAGAGGGACAAAUUCUAUAAAUCACAGUCAAUAAUUUACCAAUGGAUCUGCAACUUUUCCAUGCCAAAGGACAUUGUCGAUUACUAUGACACCCCCAACCCUCACCUGCAAGGAGACUAAUAAGCAUUCUUACAAGCUGCAAGCAUAGAAUCUAAUAAGAACAUUCAACAAACAAAUCGAAGUAAAUAAGAAAACAAACGUAGAUGGUACCAUUACAUCAUUCUUACCAGCUGCAGUAGUAAUUCAAAAUACUCCUGAUUCAUUCUCUUCUCAGCAUCAACAAAUGCAAAAUCAUAGCUAUAUGAAGUAUGUCAGAAAAUUAAGUGAGGAAGAUCUUGACUGAGGGUCUCCAGGAAAUGGAGGGAACAAAAAUGUCAUACUUUAUCAUUACCUGGAAGCUUCACCAUUCAUAAUCAGAGAACUUAAAAUGUCUGCCGCCAUUCCAUGCUUCACAUUGACCUAAUAUCAAAGAACCAUUUGGAAUUAUGCAGUGAUCACUAGAAGAAUUAUUAGUAGAUAACACGUAGCAAGAGAUUUUGUAAAAAUUAUACACAUAAUAUACUCCAGAAUUGUAGAAGUGCAGCGUAGACAGAAGGGAACUACAACAAAGUAUGCUUCUUGAGAGGUGGUGGUGGCUUUCAAAUUUCCAUGUGGAAAUCCCAAUUGCAACAUUACGAGAAGGAAAUAUACAUUACCUUGUGUGAUACACCAGCUCUCUCGUAGUACCUUUUUGCAACAUCAAGAGAAUUGGCGUCUCUUUCACAGGCAACCAAACAACCUGAUUCCGGUAGCACCAAAGCAACUGCCAACGAUGAGUACCCAGUAUAAACACCGACUUCAAUACACCGUUGCGCACCAAUUAUCUGCACAAGCAGGGCAAGCAGCUGUGCCUGAUCAGGAGAUACCUGCAUCUGGCUGCCACGAAAAGUAGCAGUCUCCUCUCGCAGUUGCCGCAAAAUCUCCGGCUCCCGAACGUUGGAGAGAAUAUAAUCGUAAAGGCGAGGAGUGAGGCUGAUGAUCUGCUUUUUACCGUACUUGUCGUCAUUUGCAACCACGACUGCGGUGUCGGUGCUGGUGGGAGAGUAGCAGUAAUUUCUGGCGAGACGAAUCGAUUUCCAUGCCCUAAAACCGCCGACACCGCUUGGACUUGAUACCGUUAUUCCCUGGGUUCUCCCUGAGAUAACAGUAGACGCAAAAGCGGCGCGUUGGUAGGCUAAGGAAGAGCAACGAUGAAGCGCCCAGGCGGUCGCCAUUUCAGAGUCUUCGAGCUAACUGUAACUGGCCCUUGAUGAUAGUCCGGUCGAGUUGGGCUCGGUCGGGUCUUGUUGGAAUUGGAUUGGAUCACGCUAAGCCCCCG
RNAcentral lists this unclassified non-coding RNA (2989 nucleotides) under Hevea brasiliensis (rubber tree). Lineage: Eukaryota; Viridiplantae; Streptophyta; Magnoliopsida; Malpighiales; Euphorbiaceae. The record is from RNAcentral.